GGCGGUAUGCCGGUUGUAUAGAGCAAGCGGUCUGUAAAACCGUCGGCUCAGCCUACGCAAGUUCGAACCUUGCACCUGCCA
This 81-nucleotide transfer RNA is filed under the name Actinomycetota bacterium. RNAcentral's name for it is "tRNA-Tyr". The record is from RNAcentral. Lineage: Bacteria; Bacillati; Actinomycetota.